GACGAAGGGGCCAAGCGUUGUUCGGAAUUAUUGGGCUUAAAGCGCACGCAGGCGGAAUAUUAAGUGUCUUGUGAAAUCCCUCGGCUUAACCGAGGAACUGCGGGGCAAACUGGUAUUCUUGAGACAGGUAGGGGUGCAUGGAACUCUAGGUGGAGCGGUGAAAUGCGUAGAUAUCUAGAGGAACGCCAGUGGUGAAAACGGUGCACUGGGCCUGUUCUGACGCUGAGGUGCGAAAGCGUGGGUAGCGAACGGGAUUAGAUACCCCAGUA
RNAcentral lists this ribosomal RNA (269 nucleotides) under uncultured prokaryote. Its description in RNAcentral is "partial 16S ribosomal RNA". It matches the Rfam family "Bacterial small subunit ribosomal RNA", at positions 524 to 792 of the family's 1533-position model. The record is from RNAcentral.